GGCGCUGUGGCUUAGUUUGUUAAAGUGCCUAUCUAGUAAACAGGAGAUCCUGAGUUCAACUUUCAGCAAUGCCU
This is a non-coding RNA of Xenopus tropicalis (tropical clawed frog), 74 nucleotides long. The record is from Rfam. NCBI's taxonomy places the organism in Eukaryota, Metazoa, Chordata, Amphibia, Anura, Pipidae.